AUUUUUUCUAGAUCCUCAAAAUGUUUUCAAUUUUUGUCUUAGUUAUUCGCAUGGUCCGGAUACUACCUCAUCUAGUGAUGAUGAUUAGAUCAUAAAAGGUAAAAAAUACCAGUACAAGGCAUAGAUUUUCAGAUAAAGUUCAACCUCAUCGUAAUUUUGUUUUAAUUCAAUUGUAUUGAUAUAAUACGUCAUAUAAAUAAGUUGGUAAAUUAUAUUGUUACACACCUUAACUUUAAAGAAUUAUCUAAAUGCAUUUACCUAUAAUACAUAAUUAUAAAUAUAAUAUGAUAAUAUAUAAUA
Diuraphis noxia (Russian wheat aphid) is the source of this 300-nucleotide long non-coding RNA. The record is from RefSeq and is a predicted model, not a curated record. NCBI's taxonomy places the organism in Eukaryota, Metazoa, Arthropoda, Insecta, Hemiptera, Aphididae.